This 755-nucleotide ribosomal RNA is filed under the name uncultured marine group I thaumarchaeote. RNAcentral's name for it is "bacterial SSU rRNA". It matches the Rfam family "Archaeal small subunit ribosomal RNA", at positions 102 to 858 of the family's 1478-position model. The record is from RNAcentral. Lineage: Archaea; Thermoproteati; Nitrososphaerota.
AGUCAACCUAACCUAUGGACGGGAAUAACCUCGGGAAACUGAGAAUAAUGCCCGAUAGGACAUUAUGCCUGGAAUGGUUUAUGUUCCAAAUGAUUUAUCGCCGUAGGAUGGGACUGCGGCCUAUCAGUUUGUUGGUGAGGUAAUGGCCCACCAAGACUAUUACAGGUACGGGCUCUGAGAGGAGUAGCCCGGAGAUGGGUACUGAGACACGGACCCAGGCCCUAUGGGGCGCAGCAGGCGAGAAAACUUUGCAAUGUGCGAAAGCACGACAAGGUUAAUCCGAGUGGUUUCUGCUAAAGAAACCUUUUGUCAGUCCUAGAAACACUGAUGAAUAAGGGGUGGGCAAGUUCUGGUGUCAGCCGCCGCGGUAAAACCAGCACCUCAAGUGGUCAGGAUGAUUAUUGGGCCUAAAGCAUCCGUAGCCGGCUCUGUAAGUUUUCGGUUAAAUCUGUACGCUCAACGUACAGGCUGCCGGGAAUACUGCAGAGCUAGGGAGUGGGAGAGGUAGACGGUACUCGGUAGGAAGGGGUAAAAUCCUUUGAUCUAUUGAUGACCACCUGUGGCGAAGGCGGUCUACCAGAACACGUCCGACGGUGAGGGAUGAAAGCUGGGGGAGCAAACCGGAUUAGAUACCCGGGUAGUCCCAGCUGUAAACUAUGCAAACUCAGUGAUGCAUUGGCUUGUGGCCAAUGCAGUGCUGCAGGGAAGCCGUUAAGUUUGCCGCCUGGGAAGUACGUACGCAAGUAUGAAACUUA